GGGCCUUUGAUGGCUGCGUUUCUUUGAAAGGAUUUUAAUUCAAAUGUGCACCCACCACGAACUUUGUCUUUUAAGUAUUUGCAUGGGCUUGACCCUUUUUUAACUUGAAUUUCCCCUUUUGCUAGCUUCACCUCUAUAUGCAUAAAAAAAAUAGGUAACCAAAAAGCAGAUGCACGGCAAGAGCAACGACUUACAUUAAAUUUGAGAGAAAUAGUUUGUUAGGAAACAAGACACAAUAUGUGG
Molecule: long non-coding RNA, 243 nt
Filed under: Capsicum annuum
Lineage: Eukaryota; Viridiplantae; Streptophyta; Magnoliopsida; Solanales; Solanaceae
Description: long non-coding RNA (CANN_LNC009867)
Source: RNAcentral